This 1014-nucleotide long non-coding RNA is filed under the name Equus caballus (horse). RNAcentral's name for it is "lncRNA (ENSECAG00000058898.1)". The record is from RNAcentral. Lineage: Eukaryota; Metazoa; Chordata; Mammalia; Perissodactyla; Equidae.
CUCAGAAAAGGCGCUGCUCUGGUCUUCAUAGUAUUUCCUACACAACAUCCUCCAUCAAAGCAGAUGUUUGGAAAGAAAACUCCUUAGUCAGCAGCCCUGGAAAGCUUCACAUUUAGAGAAAUCUAGACUCUUCUUUCCCACCCCAAGUUUCUUUGGUUUUGCGGCUGGAACCUAACAUCUGUGAAGCAGGCAGGACCUCAUGGGCCCUGUGUCACCAGACACCUGUUGACAGGAUGCCUUCAGGGGUAGAAAAUCUGGGCAGAGCCCAGCAGUGACAACUGGUAUUUAUCCAAUAUCAGCUUCCACCCACCAGGAGAUGGAUGGGCAACUGGCCCCAAGAGAGGAGCAAAGACGAGAAACGGCCAUCCGUCCUAACUCGGAUGCUGGUGGGGACACACCAGGAAUCCCUUUCCCGAAUGAAUGACAGGAGAGCCAAAGGUGCUUGAAGACAUGACGAUUUUCCCAGCUUAAGUGGAGCAUCUGCCACCGUGGUACCUCCAUGGAGCUGACCUCUGAGGAAAGGGUCCUUCCGGGUCCUUCCAGGCACUUUCAUAAAAGGCGACACUUGUCAGUGUGCCCAACUUUCAGUUACCUUGUGGUGUGCUUCUGAAGGAUUGCAAAAGAAGGGGAAGAGCCAUUAUUUUAAAUAAUCAUUUCAACAUGGAGCUUGGUGGGGAACAAAGAACGUACUUGGAGUUGCAGCUCGUGGGCCCUAGUGGCGCUUGGCUUUCCUCGUAGCUGCCCCCAAGCAUCACCAACCCACCACAGAGGAAGCCUGAGCCCUCGAGGGCCACAGACGACGUGGCUUGAACAUCGCUCCUAGGGGAGAAACAGGAAAGAGGCAACCAGAGUUUGAAUCCCGGCACUGCCACCUCAUAAGUGUGAGACUAUGAACCAGGCUGUAAGACGGGAUAGGAGUUAACGAAAAAGACACCAAAACAGGCUUCUUAGGAGAAUUAAAGAGAGAACUUGUGUUAAACACUUAGUGUGACAUUUGGAAAUACUAAAUGCUCG